Molecule: ribosomal RNA, 515 nt
Filed under: bacterium symbiont of Megymenum gracilicorne
Lineage: Bacteria
Description: bacterial SSU rRNA
Rfam family: Bacterial small subunit ribosomal RNA
Source: RNAcentral
GGAGAGGGCUAGCGUUAUUCGGAAUUAUUGGGCGUAAAGGGCGCGUAGGCGGAUUAGUAAGUUAAAAGUGAAAUCCCAAGGCUCAACCUUGGAAUUGCUUUUAAAACUGCUAAUCUAGAGAUUGAAAGAGGAUAGAGGAAUUCCUAGUGUAGAGGUGAAAUUCGUAAAUAUUAGGAGGAACACCAGUGGCGAAGGCGUCUAUCUGGUUCAAAUCUGACGCUGAGGCGCGAGGGCGUGGGGAGCAAACAGGAUUAGAUACCCUGGUAGUCCACGCUGUAAACGAUGAAUGUUAAAUAUGGGGAGUUUACUUUCUGUAUUACAGCUAACGCGUUAAACAUUCCGCCUGGGGACUACGGUCGCAAGAUUAAAACUCAAAGGAAUUGACGGGGACCCGCACAAGCGGUGGAGCAUGUGGUUUAAUUCGAUGCAACGCGAAAAACCUUACCACUCCUUGACAUGGAAAUUAUACCUAUUCGAAGGGAUAGGGUCGGUUCGGCCGGGUUUCACACAGGUGU